UACGUAGGGGCCGAGCGUUGUCCGGAAUUACUGGGCGUAAAGCGCGCGCAGGCGGCUGAUCAAGCCUGACGUGAAAGCCCCCGGCUCAACCGGGGAGAGUCGUCGGGGACUGGUUGGCUUGAGGGCGGUAGGGGCCGGUGGAAUUCCCGGUGUAGUGGUGAAAUGCGUAGAUAUCGGGAGGAACACCAGUGGCGAAGGCGGCUUCCUGGCCUGUUCUUGACGCUGAGGCGCGAAAGCUAGGGGAGCAAACGGG
This 253-nucleotide ribosomal RNA is filed under the name uncultured bacterium. RNAcentral describes it as "partial 16S ribosomal RNA". It matches the Rfam family "Bacterial small subunit ribosomal RNA", at positions 524 to 776 of the family's 1533-position model. The record is from RNAcentral.